RNAcentral lists this ribosomal RNA (492 nucleotides) under uncultured bacterium. RNAcentral's name for it is "partial 16S ribosomal RNA". It matches the Rfam family "Bacterial small subunit ribosomal RNA", at positions 31 to 507 of the family's 1533-position model. The record is from RNAcentral.
AGGGAACGCUGGCGGUAGGCCUAACACAUGCAAGUCGAACGGCAGCACAGUAAGAGCUUGCUCUUACGGGUGGCGAGUGGCGGACGGGUGAGGAAUACAUCGGAAUCUACUUUUUCGUGGGGGAUAACGUAGGGAAACUUACGCUAAUACCGCAUACGACCUACGGGUGAAAGCAGGGGAUCUUCGGACCUUGCGCGAUUGAAUGAGUCGAUGUCGGAUUAGCUAGUUGGCGGGGUAAAGGCCCACCAAGGCGACGAUCCGUAGCUGGUCUGAGAGGAUGAUCAGCCACACUGGAACUGAGACACGGUCCAGACUCCUACGGGAGGCAGCAGUGGGGAAUAUUGGACAAUGGGCGCAAGCCUGAUCCAGCCAUACCGCGUGGGUGAAGAAGGCCUUCGGGUUGUAAAGCCCUUUUGUUGGGAAAGAAAAGCAGCAGGUUAAUACCCCGCUGUUCUGACGGUACCCAAAGAAUAAGCACCGGCUAACUUCGUG